UACGGGGGGGGUAAGCGUUGUUCGGAAUUACUGGGCGUAAAGAGCUCGUAGGUGGUUUGUCGCGUUGUCCGUGAAAACUCACAGCUCAACUGUGGGCGUGCGGGCGAUACGGGCAGACUGGAGUACUGCAGGGGAGACUGGAAUUCCUGGUGUAGCGGUGGAAUGCGCAGAUAUCAGGAGGAACACCGGUGGCGAAGGCGGGUCUCUGGGCAGUAACUGACGCUGAGGAGCGAAAGCGUGGGGAGCAAACAGG
Molecule: ribosomal RNA, 253 nt
Filed under: uncultured bacterium
Lineage: Bacteria
Description: partial 16S ribosomal RNA
Rfam family: Bacterial small subunit ribosomal RNA
Source: RNAcentral